Molecule: ribosomal RNA, 520 nt
Filed under: uncultured Glomus
Lineage: Eukaryota; Fungi; Glomeromycota; Glomeromycetes; Glomerales; Glomeraceae
Description: SSU rRNA
Rfam family: Eukaryotic small subunit ribosomal RNA
Source: RNAcentral
AGCAGCCGCGGUAAUUCCAGCUCCAAUAGCGUAUAUUAAAAGUUGUUGCAGUUAAAAAAGCUCGUAGUUGAAUUUCGGGGGUCAGUAGGUUGGUCAUGCCUCCGGUAUGCACUGGUCUCACUGAUUCCUCCUUCCUGAUGGGCCGUAAUGCCAUUAACUUGGUGUUGCGGGGAAUCUGGACUGUUACUUUGAAAAAAAUUGAGUGUUUAAAGCAAGCUAACGCUUGAAUACAUUAGCAUGGAAUAAUGGAAUAGGACGUUCGAUCCUAUUUUGUUGGUUUCUAGGAUUGACGUAAUGAUUAAUAGGGAUAGUUGGGGGCAUUAGUAUUCAAUUGUCAGAGGUGAAAUUCUUGGAUUUAUUGAAGACUAACUACUGCGAAAGCAUUUGCCAAGGAUGUUUUCAUUAAUCAAGAACGAAAGUUAGGGAUCGAAGACGAUCAGAUACCGUCGUAGUCUUAACCAUAAACUAUAGCCGACUAGGAUCGGAUGAUGUUAAUUUUUAAUGUACUCAUUCGGCGUAC